GUAGGGAGCAAGCGUUGUUCGGAAUUAUUGGGCGUAAAGAGCGCGUAGGCGGCCAGGUAAGUCUGAUGUGAAAUCCCACAGCUCAACUGUGGAACUGCAUUGGAAACUGCUUGGCUAGAGUGCGGGAGAGGAGAGUGGAAUUCCCAGUGUAGAGGUGAAAUUCGUAGAUAUUGGGAGGAACACCAGUGGCGAAGGCGGCUCUCUGGACCGCAACUGACGCUGAGGCGCGAAAGCUAGGGGAGCGAACGGGAUUAGAUACCCCGGUAGUCCUAGCCGUAAACGAUGGGCACUAGGUGUGGGAGGCAUCGACCCCGUUCUGUGCCGCAGCUAACGCAUUAAGUGCCCCCCGCCUGGGGAGUACGGUCGCAAGACUA
RNAcentral lists this ribosomal RNA (374 nucleotides) under uncultured organism. RNAcentral describes it as "partial 16S ribosomal RNA". It matches the Rfam family "Bacterial small subunit ribosomal RNA", at positions 527 to 896 of the family's 1533-position model. The record is from RNAcentral.